RNAcentral lists this ribosomal RNA (890 nucleotides) under uncultured Chloroflexota bacterium. Its description in RNAcentral is "bacterial SSU rRNA". It matches the Rfam family "Bacterial small subunit ribosomal RNA", at positions 8 to 905 of the family's 1533-position model. The record is from RNAcentral. Lineage: Bacteria; Bacillati; Chloroflexota.
AGAGUUUGAUCAUGGCUCAGGAUAAACGCUGGCGGCGUGCCUUAUGCAUGCAAGUCGUACGGUAUUGAUAAAUCAGGCUUGCCUGGGAUAUCAAGAGAGUGGCGGACGGGUGAGUAACACGUAAGCAAUCUGCCCCUAAGUAAGGGAUAACCCUGAGAAAUCGGAGCUAAUACCUUAUGUGGUGGUGGAGGUAAAGCUUCAUCACUAAAGCCGCAAGGCGCUUGGGGAGGAGCUUGUGUCCGAUUAGCUAGUUGGUAGGGUAAUGGCUUACCAAGGCGAUGAUCGGUAGCUGGUCUGAGAGGAUGAUCAGCCACACUGGGACUGAGAUACGGCCCAGACUCCUACGGGAGGCAGCAGCAAGGAAUAUUGGGCAAUGGGCGAAAGCCUGACCCAGCGACGCCGCGUGGGGGAUGAAUGCCUUCGGGUUGUAAACCCCUUUUCUCAGGGAAGAAUAAUGACGGUACCUGAGGAAUAAGUCUCGGCUAACUACGUGCCAGCAGCCGCGGUAAUACGUAGGAGGCGAGCGUUAUCCGGAUUUAUUGGGCGUAAAGAGGGCGCAGGCGGUUCUUCAAGUCGGAUGUAAAAUCUCCCGGCUUAACUGGGAGGGGUCAUUCGAUACUGUUGGGCUAGAGGGCAGCAGGGGGAGGUGGAAUUCCCGGUGUAGUGGUGAAAUGCGUAGAUAUCGGGAGGAACACCAGUGGCGAAGGCGGCCUCCUGGGCUGUUACUGACGCUGAGGCCCAAAAGCGUGGGGAGCAAACAGGAUUAGAUACCCUGGUAGUCCACGCCGUAAACGAUGAGUGCUAGGUGUCGGGGGUUCACACCCUCGGUGCCGGAGUUAACGCAUUAAGCACUCCGCCUGGGGAGUACGGUCGCAAGAAUGAAACUCAAA